CCCGCUGGUCACGUGGUAUCAACACGGGGUUCUGUGUUUCAUUUGACUGAGUUGAAACAGUCGUUACCUGUUGUAGGUGGUCAAAUAUUUGUGCUACUUGGUGACACCUAGUGGCUCAGACAUUGCAUCCUUGCAGUAGUACGUGAACCUCAUUCCCAGCAUGUGCAUAAACUACAGUGAUGAGAACCCAUGCUGUGCCUGCCACAAAGGAGGAUAAAAGGGAGAACAUUACAGAACAUUGUCUUGACACCGGUCAUCCUAUGGAAUACAACAACACAGAGAUUCUGGCUUGCACGUCCAGCAAUUGGGAUACUAAGGAAGCUGUUGAAAUCAGACUAUCAAGCAACCUUAUUAACAGAGAUGGUGGAUUUUGUUUAAAUGCUGCUUGGAAUCCGGCUCUGCCUCUCGUCAAAAAACAGAGGGACAGAAUCAGUGCUACCUCACCUGUUGAUUAAUAGUAACUAUUGAUAUUUCUGAUGUUGGUUAUCUUUGGCUGUGUUGACACUUGUUCUGUUUGUGAUGUCUUCCUUGUUUCUCCUCUGUGAACCGAGGUAUUAAAUUUACUUGCACAUUUUUUCUUCCUGGCAUUUGUGCCUUGAGAAUGGCAGGGUGUGCUCCUGUCGAAAUAUCGGCGGUGUUAGACGUCACCCAGCAGCAAACCCGUAAGUUAUUUGAACAUCUGAAUAAUGGUGACAGCAAAUAGUGUGAAGCAAUGUAAUUCACUACACUUGCUACUCUGCUCAGUUUCUAAAAAUCCUUAGGUAUGGGACCAAAACAAA
Schistocerca nitens (vagrant locust) is the source of this 779-nucleotide long non-coding RNA. RefSeq lists it as uncharacterized. The transcript is spliced from 3 exons. Lineage: Eukaryota; Metazoa; Arthropoda; Insecta; Orthoptera; Acrididae. The record is from RefSeq and is a predicted model, not a curated record.